Molecule: ribosomal RNA, 492 nt
Filed under: uncultured bacterium
Lineage: Bacteria
Description: partial 16S ribosomal RNA
Rfam family: Bacterial small subunit ribosomal RNA
Source: RNAcentral
AUUGAACGCUGGCGGCAUGCUUUACACAUGCAAGUCGAACGGUAACAGGCCUUCGGGUGCUGACGAGUGGCGAACGGGUGAGUAAUGCAUCGGAACGUACCCAGAGGUGGGGGAUAACGCAGCGAAAGCUGUGCUAAUACCGCAUGUGAUCUGAGGAUGAAAGCGGGGGACCGCGCAGCAAUGUUUGGCCUCGCGCCUUUGGAGCGGCCGAUGUCGGAUUAGCUAGUUGGUGGGGUAAAGGCCUACCAAGGCGACGAUCCGUAGCUGGUCUGAGAGGACGACCAGCCACACUGGGACUGAGACACGGCCCAGACUCCUACGGGAGGCAGCAGUGGGGAAUUUUGGACAAUGGGCGCAGGCCUGAUCCAGCAAUGCCGCGUGCGGGAAGAAGGCCUUCGGGUUGUAAACCGCUUUUGGCAGGAACGAAACGGUGUCCGCUAAUACCGGGCGCUAAUGACGGUACCUGCAGAAUAAGCACCGGCUAACUACGUG